This 81-nucleotide microRNA precursor is filed under the name Orchesella cincta. Its description in RNAcentral is "mir-981 microRNA precursor family". It matches the Rfam family "mir-981 microRNA precursor family". Lineage: Eukaryota; Metazoa; Arthropoda; Collembola; Entomobryomorpha; Orchesellidae. The record is from Rfam by way of RNAcentral.
UCUUGCAUAUUUCGGGUCUCCUCGAUGUACGAGCCUUGCUUGUAAAGGGUUCGUUGUCGUUGAAACCUGCAUAGUGUAAGA